Molecule: ribosomal RNA, 519 nt
Filed under: Trichopeziza sulphurea
Lineage: Eukaryota; Fungi; Ascomycota; Leotiomycetes; Helotiales; Tricladiaceae
Description: eukaryotic LSU rRNA
Rfam family: 5.8S ribosomal RNA (bases 163-316)
Source: RNAcentral
UUCCGUAGGUGAACCUGCGGAAGGAUCAUUACAGAGUUCAUGCCCUCACGGGUAGAUCUCCCACCCUUGUGUAUUAUAUCAUAUGUUGCUUUGGCGGGUGCAAGCCCGCCAGAGGACCCAAACUCUGAGUUUAGUGUCGUCUGAGUACUAUAAAAUAGUUAAAACUUUCAACAACGGAUCUCUUGGUUCUGGCAUCGAUGAAGAACGCAGCGAAAUGCGAUAAGUAAUGUGAAUUGCAGAAUUCAGUGAAUCAUCGAAUCUUUGAACGCACAUUGCGCCCCUUGGUAUUCCGAGGGGCAUGCCUGUUCGAGCGUCAUUAUAACCAAUCCAGCCUGGCUGGGUCUUGGGCUCCGCCAACCGGCGGGCCUUAAAAUCAGUGGCGGUGCUGCCAGGCUCUAAGCGUAGUAAAUACCUCGCUAUAGGGUCCUGGUGGAGGCUUGCCAACAACCCCCAACUUCUUAGGUUGACCUCGGAUCAGGUAGGGAUACCCGCUGAACUUAAGCAUAUCAAUAAGCGGAG